AACGAACGCUGGCGGCAUGCCUAACACAUGCAAGUCGAACGAGACCUUCGGGUCUAGUGGCGCACGGGUGCGUAACGCGUGGGAACCUGCCCUUAGGUUCGGAAUAACUCCCCGAAAGGGGUGCUAAUACCGGAUAAUGUCUUCGGACCAAAGAUUUAUCGCCUUUGGAUGGGCCCGCGUUGGAUUAGCUAGUUGGUAGGGUAAAAGCCUACCAAGGCGACGAUUCAUAGCUGGUCUGAGAGGAUGAUCAGUCACACUGGGACUGAGACACGGCCCAGACUCCUACUGGAGGCAGCAGUGGGGAAUAUUGGACAAUGGGCGAAAGCCUGAUUCAGCAAUGCCGCGUGAGUGAUGAAGGCCUUAGGGUUGUAAAGCUCUUUUACCCGGGAUGAUAAUGACAGUACCGGGAGAAUAAGCUCCGGCUAACUCCGUG
RNAcentral lists this ribosomal RNA (433 nucleotides) under uncultured bacterium. RNAcentral describes it as "partial 16S ribosomal RNA". It matches the Rfam family "Bacterial small subunit ribosomal RNA", at positions 29 to 507 of the family's 1533-position model. The record is from RNAcentral.